This is a long non-coding RNA of Sceloporus undulatus (fence lizard), 1815 nucleotides long. RefSeq lists it as uncharacterized. The record is from RefSeq and is a predicted model, not a curated record. Lineage: Eukaryota; Metazoa; Chordata; Lepidosauria; Squamata; Phrynosomatidae. The transcript is spliced from 4 exons.
CUUCACUUCAGUUUGCUACAGUUAAAGCUGUUCUAAGAAUAUAUCCUUGUUCUACAGAUAAGAAAAGGUCAAAUAGAGAAAGGACAGAAAGAAACAACAUUGAUUGUGCUUAUAAAAGCUAUAAGCAAGGAUUUUAAAAAAUGUUAGGAGAAAACUGAAGAGGGAAUCUUUUAAGGCCUGCUUGAGGAGCCCAGUGGAUUGGAAAUGAUUAAAAACAAUGUUACUACCGAACUGAGGAAGGGGUCUUUCAAUGCCUGCUUGAGGAGCCAACUCUCAGUCCCUCUGGAUCAGUUCAGGAUUCAAGAGGCGCCUUUUGGAUCCCUGGCGGCUCACUCUGCACACCCUUUCCCCUGCCAUCUCUCCUUUGAAGACAAGCCUAGAAGCAGACCAUAGGAUUGAAUGAGGAAGAGGAGGAGGAAGCAAAGAGUCCAGGAAAGGAUGGGAAGUAAGCAGGAAAAAAUGGAGGAAAGGAAGGAGGCUGCAGCUGCAUGUAUCCUGGGACUGGGACCAGGAGGCACCUGAGUCUCACCAGAAGAGCAGAUUGGCACAGAAGAAACCUCCCAGUUUCAGAACAUUAGAAUAUUAAAAUAUAUUGCAGAAUCACAUAUCCUGAAUAAAAUAUUCAAAGCCAUCACUUAUGCCUGAUACUGCUCUCUGGUGCAACACAUCAGACAUAAGUGAUGGUGUUGAAUAUGUAGGACUGUAUAUUGUACUUUUAUUCCAGUAUAGGCCUGAAGGCAAGUCUUUACUUUUCUAAAUAAAUAAAUAACUAUGUAAACCACUCCAGAAGCCUUUGUUUGCUUAACAGUGGCAUAAAAUAAUGGUUGGCACCCUGCAUUGCAGUUAUGGAUUUGUUACCUAAAGUUACAGAUUUGUAACUGUUCCUUACCUAUCUAUACUAUAUAUUUACAAUUGUGACACUCUUGUCAGAUUGCAAAUACCCUUAGAACCCACCUUAAACUCAAAGGAUUUGCUUUGUGUGACAGAGGUCAGUGGACAUACCCAGAGGUAGCUGUGUUAGCCUUAUGGCAAAGUACAAUAACAAUUCAAAAUCCACAAAACAGUCAUACCUUUAUUGUGCCAGUCAAAAUGCACAAUAGAUAUGUUUCAAGCUUUUGAAACCCCACUGGGUUGUUUAUUAGGUCAAAAAGUUAAAAAUCAUAUAGGAGAAAAAAAAUAUGAUAAUGGGGCUGUACAGACCAGCAAGAAACACUGGCAUGGUGUGGAAUGGGGAUAUGGUGAUCACCUAGUUCCCACCCUGAUUUUCCUCCCAAAGUGGCAUCAUGCCACCCACUUGACCAGAUGGUGGGCAGUGUCAUGACAUUUCUGCAGCACAGCAUUUACACACAUUGUGCUGAAGAAACAUGGAAGAGCCACGGUGGCAAGGGAGACUCCCCUCCCAAAAAAGAGCCACAUUUUGUUUCUUCUUUUGGGGCUGGAAAAAUGCCCUGCUCUAGCAAGCAAAGGGUCAGUGCAUAGCCACUCCUUUAAGACCAUCUGUUUUUGGCCAAUGUUAGCCAUAGGCUUGCAUUCUGUCAAGAUAUUGGGGAUUCCAGGAAAUCAACUUUAAAUCCCUUAGCAGCACAAAAAUCUACUGCCUUUGGGAUCCAGUUUCUCUCCAUCCUUUGUGAGGCUAGCCCCUUUGUUAGGUAGAGGUCGGUGGUGCAGUCAGAAUAACACAACUAGCCUCCUUCCACUCUUGAGCCAAAGUGUGACAAUUGGAAGCUUCUGCGUCUUAUGCUGUGGCUUGUGGGUUGGAGGAAGAUCAUCUUACCAUGGCAUGGGGAGGGAGGGAGCUAGCCACAUCAUUCUAAA